AGAACCGACCCACAUUCGUUCCCGAACCGAACACUGUAUCUCAGCCCCCCUACCGUCCCGCCGGUAUGCACGACACGGGCCUCUCCGCCCGCACUGCCGGUGCUUCCUCGUCGUCACCGGCCACCAACGCCGGCGACGACGUCGACGAGUCCAAGACCCGGAAGGCGCAGCCUGCCUUCGUCGCCGCGGCCUACGCCCGGCUCCACUCCCCUUACUAUGCGGCCGCCUCCGCAGCCCUUCUCCUCCUCGCCCUCGCCGCCGCUGCCUUCCUCGCCGGCCGAGCUUUCCCCCGGACCGACUGCCCGCCGCUGCGCCUCGACGCGCGCUUCCUCUCCCUCCCUGACGCCGCCGCGGCCUCCGACUUCGGAUCCCUCGGCGUCCCCUCGUGCAGAUCCAAAACUGGGAAGACAGUGGAGUGGACUUCGAAAGAUUUACUUAAUGGACUGGAAGAAUUUGUGCCAAUCUAUCAGACACGCCCUAUGAAGAAUAACAUGCAUGGAAUGAGAUUUGACCACAGUUUUGGGCUUUGGUUUAUGGCUCGAUGGCUUAAGCCAGACCUGAUGAUUGAGAGUGGCGCAUUCAAGGGGCACUCAACUUGGGUUUUGCGUCAGGCCAUGCCAAACACUAGGAUUAUAUCUCUCACACCCAGACACCCUGAGAAAUAUCUUAAGAAGGGACCUGCGUAUGUUGAUGGAAACUGCACUUAUUUGGCUGGGAAGGAUUUUAUUGACUUUGGAAGUGUCGAUUGGGAAAAACUGUUGAUGAAGCAUGGCAUUUCUGAUCCCAGCAAGGUGCUUGUUUUCUUUGAUGACCACCAAAGUGAGCUGAAGAGGUUAAAGCAGGCACACAAAGCUGGAUUCCGGCAUCUCAUAUUUGAGGACAACUAUGACACUGGUACAGGCGACCAUUAUUCCUUGAGACAGAUAUGUGAUCAAUCACACAUCAGAGGUGGUGGACAUAGCUGCUUCUGGGACAGUGACGAAGCAAGAUUAAGGUCGGAACGAAUGAAGUUUUGGGGGAAGGCUGUGGACAUAGAUGAACUAUGUGGAAAGGAUGAUGCAUGGUGGGGAGUCAGAGGUUACAUGCGUGACAAUUUCAACCAUAGCAAUGAGGCCAUCUCACACAAAGAGCAUUUCCAGAACAGCAGGCUUGUUGAAUCUGUGUUGGAUCUGUAUUGGGAACUACCUCCUGUUGCUGGUCCGUCCUUAACUCAUCAGACAAGAUAUGACCCAGCCCGCGCAUCUGAUCCCAUCAUUGAAGAUGGACGCCAUGGCUUGUUUCAAAGAAUUGGCCUGAGUAGAUUGGACGCUUCAGUGUUCAACGGUUACACUCAGAUGGCAUACGUUCAGAUAUCAGGCACAAUGCUCAGAAGAGAGGAUGAGUAAAGGCUUUGUUUCACGGGCUUAGUUUUACGCUAACUGAACAGCCAUCCGUUGGUAAUGUUACGGAGCUACUACAGCAUUGCCAUAAGGAAAAAUAGUUGUCACGAAAACGCACUGAACACGGCCGGCUCCAUGCUGCAUUAAUGAUCGAUCCAGCCAUCGAGGGUGUCCUUUUGCACACCUAAAAAAUUGCAUGCUCCCUCCGUUCACUUUUGGAUCUCCAACGUGUGAGCAUCGACAGUUCUGGGGCAAGGCCGCACCAUCACAGGGAUCUCUGCACCGGCUAUUUCAUCUUCGCCAGUUCUUCUGCGCGGAGGCUCCAACGACCACGCCCAAGCACGCCGCCGCUACUUCCGGCGGCAGGCCGGAUCAGAGCUGAGCAAGUACGCAAGUAACCAUAUGGUCGGUCGGUGAAUCAAGGGCUGCCGAUUCAUGUCAGGA
Triticum aestivum (bread wheat) is the source of this 1823-nucleotide RNA transcript. RefSeq lists it as uncharacterized. The record is from RefSeq and is a predicted model, not a curated record. NCBI's taxonomy places the organism in Eukaryota, Viridiplantae, Streptophyta, Magnoliopsida, Poales, Poaceae. The transcript has 6 exons.